This 1297-nucleotide long non-coding RNA is filed under the name Amborella trichopoda. RNAcentral describes it as "long non-coding RNA (ATRI_LNC000852)". The record is from RNAcentral. Lineage: Eukaryota; Viridiplantae; Streptophyta; Magnoliopsida; Amborellales; Amborellaceae.
UGCUCAAUAAAAUUUUGAUAUUUCUUCAAUAUUCGGUCACGUUUUGACAAAGGAGGAGAGAUAAAUUUUUGGACGGGGACCCUUGGGCUUAUCUCUUCUAUCUUCUCUCUCUUUCUCUCUCCUCUAUCACAUAGGGCGGAAGCCUAUCGCUGUCUCCGUUUCACUCUUUCUCCUCUCUUUUUCUCUCCCUCCCUCUCUAUAGUCCCUCAUGACCACCUUUCCCUUCUUUCUCCUGGUGGUCCCUCUGGUCCACUUAUCUUCUUCUUCUUUUUGUUGGACUACAUGCAUGUCCACCUACUUUCUGUACACCCUCAGGUCCACCUCCUACUUCUUUCUCAGGUAGUCCUUGGUGUCCAUCUCACUUUCUAUUCUUUUUCAGUACACCUUUACUUUACGUAUAUUGUGCGCCCUCGUGUCGUGUAGUGUCGCGUGGCGUCGCCCUUUUCCCACUCACAAUCUGUUGUCCCGUGAGACCACUAUGCCACGAAUCUUUCUUCCUACACAUCGCCGUCGGUGAAACCUUCCAAACCAUAGCCCCCUGUUAAACCUUCCUACCCAUCGCCGCCUGUAAAACCUUCCUACCCAACGCCGCCUGUGAAACCUCCUUACUAUCGUCCUGUGUGUAAACCUCUACCCAUUGCCGUCUGCACCAACCGCACGCGAGUCACCUCUCGCACCCCUUAACCUCGCACGGUAACCCGACUUCCUCCUUUGCCCAUUCCAUCCACCAACAUUCCCUCGCCCCUGCAACUCCAUCUACACCUCUCUCCCUACCCUUCUCUUCUUCAUAUUCACCCACCUGCAAACCACCUCAGCCAUCUCCGCCUCUCUUUCCACCUCGGCUGCACCCACCUCUGCCUCUCUUAACCUCACGCAGCAACCCCAUUUUUUCUCCGCCUCUUCCCGCUGCUACACCACAACCUUACAGCUGCAUCCAGCAACAAUCAUCUCUCCACUCCUACCACCACCUACUGCCCUCGCCUCUCUUUCCUCUCUUCUCUCCGCCAUUUCCGCACCAUCAGAUGUGAUCCAACCCCCUUACUUUCCGUCAAUCAUGCUGCGCCUCACUGCUGUCCCAUUUCCGUCAUAGCCCCACCUUUCCCCGCCAUCUUCGCAGCCUCGUGCUCCCCUCUCGCUUCAGCCUUCCUUUCGCUCUCUCUACAACUCGCAAAAUAAAAACCCAUGAAGCCACUUCACUCGGCCGUUUUCUCUCUCUCUCCAACUUACCAGUCUCCUCUCCACUUGCAGCCAGGAACUCAAUCAUCUUCUUCUCCACCGUUUGCAGUUAAAUCGUGGG